Molecule: non-coding RNA, 1558 nt
Organism: Gasterosteus aculeatus aculeatus (three-spined stickleback)
Lineage: Eukaryota; Metazoa; Chordata; Actinopteri; Perciformes; Gasterosteidae
Source: RefSeq, a predicted model, not a curated record
UUUCCCUCAGAGCCGAUGACAAUCCAGGAUUACAUUGUUGCUUCAUUGCCCCGACAUGCUUCACAUUUUCGGUCCUCCAGCUUGUGUGGGAUGAGCUGGAUGCAUGGCACAGCCGCCUGAUGCUGCUGGACAGCGAGGUGCAGGAGCAUCCGGAUCAAGCCCACCUACUGAUGGACCAACUCAACCGACCGCUGCAGCUGUAUCAAAACGCAGCGCACAUGACCGAGCAAUGCACUGCCUUCCUCAGCAAGGUCCCCGCCUGCCUUCAAGAGUUUGAAGAUAUUAUGCAUGGCGCCGCCCGCUGGUUAGACGAGGCCCAGUCCUGGCUCAGUGACCCGUGCUCCUUCCCCACAGCCAGAGGCCUCCAGAAUCAUGCAAACUCCCUGCAGGCGGCUCUGAUGGGUGGUACCACCAUGGUCAUGGCGCUGGUCCUGCCUGAGCAGCACUGCUCCCUCCUGGACGCCUACGGGAACUGCCGAGCUCUGGCCGACGCCAAUGCUGUCUUACAUGAAGUAGGUCAGCACACAUGCUCAGUGGGCACGUUAGACAUAUUCUACGAGUCAACAUGCCUCAUUCAGCCUUUGGCGUUAAUGUAUGUGCUGGGUCAUAUGCUACAUUUAUCAUCUAUAAGCAAAUCUAGUUGUUAAUAACCUCCCCGUUUGUAUCACUCACCGUAACCUAAUCUAAUCUUCAACUGAUCAAUUAUUUGUCUAUUGAAGGUCAGAAAACGUUCGCAAAAUUCCCUGAUGCAAUGUCGACUAAAACCAAUGCAUAUAUUUAGUCGUGAUGAUUCAUUCACGUGUUACUGAACAUUAUGAACUGCCAGUUUUUAACAGACCUCACACUUAUAAAUAUACGUUUCACUGUUCACCCCCCAUGAGUGAGUGAAUGUGUUUGUUUGUGGGGCUUCUGAUUUUCACUAAUGUGAAUCCAAUAUUAUCUCUUUCUGGCUGCAACUUACAAAAACAAAAAACCUCUUCCUUUGACCCCUGACCUUUGUCCUGUGUUUAGGUGCGUAGCGAGAUGGAGACCCUGGUGAGGGAGCACGGAGUGAACUCUUUCCAGAUGUUCAUGGCCUACAAAGAUACGAUGAUGCUCAGGGACUCGGAGCUCUACCAGACGCUGCAGACCUGUAAAGACAUCGGGGCCGUCGCUCGAGUCCACGCUGAGAACGGAGAGCUGGUGGCAGAGGGUGCUAAAGAGGCUCUGGAUUUAGGCAUCAGUGGACCGGAGGGUAUCGAAAUAAGUCGACCAGAAGAGCUGGAGUCUGAGGCUACUCACAGAGCCGUCACCAUCCCCAACAAGGUAAACACGCAAAACCAGACAUUUGAAUGUGCAUGUGUCCAAGCGUCUGCUUAGUGGGCUCCUUUGACUGGACGGAGAGAGCAGGUGAGCAGGUGUACGCCGCAUUUGCACAAGAAUGGCUGCAGGUGUAUUUAUUCACUGCUGAGCAACAACGGCCAGCAAAAUAACGCAACGAUUCAACUGGAUGUUUUUACUUAUGCUUAUUAUUUUCUGUGUUCACAUAGUAAAUCAGCCGUUGGGGAAAAGAUGAACG